ACCCGAGUUUUGGUUACCCAUUGUCAUGGAUGUUCAUGGGCACACGGCCACCACACCGCGGCGCGUGGCCAGCGCAGCGAAUCCAUCCCCAUCCUCAUGAUUAUAAAUAAAUAAUAAUUUUACACGCCCCCUUCUCUCUCGAUUUCUCGCGGAGCGGCCCUCCACCUUUAUCGCCGCCGCCGCCGUUGCUGUGUUCCGUCUCUUCGCCGAUGGCUUCGGCCAAGUUCGGUGCUGCCCAGCAGGUGGAGAACCGAGGCGCGCUGUCCAAAAGGUCACGUAACGACGGUGAGGCACUUCCCCACUCUGAUCUGUUGUUCGCUCGCUUGUUAGACCGGGAGUUAGGGUUUAGUCAAGUUGCAAACGGGAGAUCUUCUCGUGCAGGAUUUGCUCUUUUUUGUUUAGGAAUUAGCGAUUGAUCAAUCGCAAGGCCAGCUGAGGCAUAAUUGAGAGACAGGAGCGGCUCUAAUAGAUGCCAUUAGGAGAAUGUGCGCUAAAGCUGACAUAGGUUCACCAGAGUCUUUUGUAAGGAGUUCGUCUCCUUUGUAAGGAGACAAUGAGUUCGGGGAAAUCGACUAUGUUUCACUCUUCUACUGAAUUGUUGUUGUUUUUUUGUUAGCUUUAGGCACUUCAUGGUGGCAGUGGGUCGUCGUUACCAUUUUAGGGCUUGUUCGGUUAGCUCUCAAUCCAUAUGGAUUGAGUGGGAUUGGGUGGGUUUAAAUUCCAACUAAGUCAAACUCUUUCUUAAUUUUUUCCAAUCUCAUCCAAUCCAUAGGUAACGGGAUUAACCGAACAAGGCCUUAGUCUAUCCGAGUCCUCAUGGAUAACAAUUUUUAGUUCUAUAAGGGGAUAUUUCAUACUACCAUGCCUUUUAUCUAAUUUGAUUCUGAUUAGUACCUUGUUAGUUACACUCGUGGUUAAUCUUAUGCCUGUCUAAAGUACUUGCUGGAGUUUGAGAGGCCGUCACGUGAAGGCGGAAGGAUGAUUUUGUAAAGCUAUGUGACACAAUAAAAUAGCUUCUUUCUUUGUGCAGAGUUCAUGGAUGUAUAAUGUAUUCAUUG
RNAcentral lists this long non-coding RNA (1058 nucleotides) under Zea mays. RNAcentral's name for it is "drought-responsive long non-coding RNA". The record is from RNAcentral. Lineage: Eukaryota; Viridiplantae; Streptophyta; Magnoliopsida; Poales; Poaceae.